CAUUGUCAAGUUCUUAUAUUUUUUUCUUUUCUAGCAAUCUAAAAUAUAUGAUUUCCCACCUUCAGAUCAAGCUCUAGAUAGUAGAUAACUAGAUAUACAACUAAAGAGGAAAACAUAUUAUAAACAUCGAAAAGGCUAAAAGUAAAACAACAUAGAACAGAAAAAGGACAUGAAUCCAUCUAAACCCAUAUGAUAAUUCCUGCAUUUCUUUCAACCCACCAAAAAACAAAUAAUAGAAGGUACUGAAACUGAAAAAAUCAAAGAGAAACUCAAAGAACCAGAGGGUAGAGGUUGCAGAGAAUAACCAAUCGGAGUAGAUAAUAGAAGGCAAGCUGCAUAAAAGAAAAGAACAAAGAUCAAAGUUACUUGCAGGUGGGGCCCUUACCUGGUUGUCGCUCUUGCUGCCGGAGGAGAAGAUGUCGCAGGCGUUAUCGUAUUAUGGUUGUUGUCGUUCUUGCUGUCGGAGAAGGAGAAGAGAAGACGUCGGAGAAGAGAAGACGGUCUUGCUGCAGGAGAAGGAGAAGAAGAAGAAGUUGCAGGCAGUGGCUGUCGGAGAAGGAGGAGAGAAGACGUUGAGGGUUUUGGUCUCAACUCAGAGUUCGAGCUUUGAGGGUUUUGGUCUCUUCGGGCGUCGGGUGUUUCAAUUUUACGCUGCCAUAUAAUAAACAAAGUUGUUAGUAAAAAAAAAAAAAAAAACAAUUAAAAUAUAAUAAACAAAAUAUUGUUAGUAAAAAAAUAAAAAUAAAAAAAUAACACAAAGGCGACCGCCUAGGGAACAAAUCGUGACAUGGCGUCCAUGGCGGUCGCCUACCAUUCAAUGGCGGUCGCCAUUGUGUGAGACACAAAUCGUUGGACUACCAUGACCAAAUUUUACCGCCGAGACGCCAAAUUGCCACCUAGGCGACGCCUUGACAACUAUGACCUUGAGUGUGCACUAAGACACCUUUAUUAGGCCACAGCUGGUUUAUCGCAUCAAAAUACAGAUUACAAUAAUUAGACAAUGUUAAAUAAUUUUUUCCUGCUACUAAUCUUACAGGAUUUUUAUAUGGGAGCAUUGAUCAUAAGUGAUCAAGAGUAAGGAAACACAAGAUGGUGAUUAACCAAAUUAGAUAGAGAAAGGCAACUAGAUGUUAAGACUUAAGGACAUGAAUUUCUUAAUGGAUAAAAUAAUUUUUUUGUAAAGAGGGAAUGGUGGAGUCUGCUACAGCCCAAACUGGACAAGGCUCCUAGAGGAUACUCGAGGCAGACAAGUCACAUACAACCGCACUCACCAGGAGGCCCCCUGUUCCCAUUCUGGCCAACUUCUAUGCAAUAGAGUUAGAAGAUCUCAGCCUCCAAAAUAACAUAGGUUUUUAAACUACUGAGAGUUAGGGACCUGUUAUUUGUUCUGUUUCGGAUGGUAAAUUCUAUUGCAAUUGGGAAAGUGAAAUGGUGGUUAGUAUAAGCUGGGGUCAAUUACAAGAAUCCUAUUUAGUCAUACCAUCUAUUUUAAAGCCAUGGCAGUUUUUAACCAAAAGCAAAGUGUGGUUUUAUUCUCAACUUUGGGUGGUAAUAGCAGUAUCAACUCUUGGAGUAUGGACCAAGUGAAUCAUGAAUUAGUCGGCUGCAGUAAGUAAAUUAGAUGUGGUUAGUUGAUGACAUGAGUUUGUGUAUGAAUGCCCCUAAAAUACAAACAACUAUUUUGUGAGUUUACACUUUGGUGCGCUUGACCUUGUUUUUUAUUUAUAAUAUUUCUAAAAUUUCUAUGAAGAAAUUAUAUGAGUUUACACAUGAAUAGUUCUUGAACAACAGCUAGCCAAUUUGUCAAAAUAAAAAAUAAUUAUAUGUAGAUAAAUAGGUCAUUAUCAUUAAGUUUUUUGCAAUAGUGUUUAUUUUUUGGUUGGUGUGAAUAUGUUAGUUCCUGUGUAUUUGGGUGAGUUUUGCAUAUACUUUAUUGCUUUAAGUAAACAGCUCUUCUUUAUUUUUAUAUAAUUGCUGGUCGAAGAAUUUGUAAAGCAGCAGUCAAAAAAUGGUUAGUGAUUAUGGGUAGCAAUGAACCAUCUUCUAGGAUGGUGGGAAAUUCAUGAAUCACUUCUCCGAUCACUUCCUUCACUGAACUAACAGUAAAAUUCCCAGUCGUAAUCAUAGUCAUGUUCUUUCUUUGUUAUGUGAUUAUGGGUAGCAUUGUAGUUCUGGGUUUUUAUUAACUGAUCACUAUGGCUGCUAUGCUUCUUCCACCCCAUGUUAGACCGGUUGGCUAGAGAUGCAAUAGCUUGAGAUCAUUCUGCUCUAUGGUUACCUGAUUUGUGGGUAGUAAACUAAUUGUGUUCUGUAUCUAAUGGAGAAAGUUGAACAGCAAUCCUAUAUGGAUUGAAUAGCCAGACAGAUGUGUUUCAUGCUGUAUGGCCAUAUAUUCACUGCCAGAACUUAGUCUAGACCUUAAAUCACCCUGAUUCAUGUAGGGAAAUUUAAGGUUUGUUCUAGUCUUGUGAGGGGAGGGGUGUUAAGAGUAAAUCAAGAGAACUUAAACCAUGAAAUGUUCAGGCGCUGGCUCCUUCCAUGUAAAAGAAAAGGGAGGGAAGUGAAAAGGGUUGUAAACAGGGGGGGGGUGUUAAAUCUGCAAGCUAAUUAUGUUUCUAUUUCCUUCAUCAAUUUGCAUGAUGGUGGAGGUGGUACUUAAUCCAAUAUCUCAUAUAUGGACCAGUUAUGGUCAACAAUAAUGAUACUAAUGCGCCGCCUUAACCAUGGAGGACAAUUAUUAUUAUGUGUAGUAAAAACAGUCAGAGAUGCUUGCAGCCCAUGUAACAUGCUUGCAUAGCAUUAGUCCUUGAAAGCUAAAUCCAUGAGUAAGAGAUGGGUCAUGUGAGCUAGCGUUCAGCAAACUUUCUCUCUCUCACUUUAAGUUAUGCUGUUCAAAAGAAACUUUGAUCUUUCUCUCUCGCUCUCAAUUAUACUAUUCAAAAGAGAGAAACAGAGAGGGUGAUAUGUCAUCAAAUCACACAAUUUUCCAGUGUAAGGAAUAUUUGGAUUGAUACAGAAGAAUUUCAAGUUGACAUUUACCCCCUCUACUUAUUACAGCCUUAAUGCUGUCUAUUAGAUUGAAAGUCUCUGUGUUUCUGUUAUAUUUUGUUCUGAAUUUGUCUCCUACAUUGGCAUAGUCUGAUGCUUUACUAAACAAUGGUGAAGAUGUAGGCUUGUUUUUUGAGAAUUGCUUUGUUCCAGGACAUAAUGUUCAAGGGAAAAUGUAUUAGCAUUGCAGAGAUCUCUAGAUACCAACUUAUAAAGCAGAUCCAUAAAGAAUGCGUAAUAGAAACAAUUAGAAGUUCACCAUUUUGUGUUGGAUUGCAUGAAUUUUGGAAAAAGUGGUAGAUAGGAGCCUGAAGUAGGGGUAUAUCAUCAUUCAAGGUGAGUUCCCAAAUUCAUCCGUACAUAUUUCGUUUUUUGCUUCUAUAGAAAUUUGUUCGUUUUCUUCUUGUUGAUUGAUACAAUUUUCUUAUUGCUAUGUGUUUCUUUGUUAUAGGUUAACUGGAGUGGACAUUUUAAGUACAUGAGCAGAUCAAGCUGAUACCAGACCAAAAUUUUCGAGAUAGUCUAGAUUUUUAAUGCUUAUUUUGCCUCUUGCCACCAUUUAAACUCACGUGUGAGCUUUCAGCCCCGUCCAUUUUGCUGUGUGGCUGAACUGAACUAGGAGACUUUAUGAUGUAAUUAUUCUUAUUAAUUAUUAUUUUAUUUUAUUUAUUUAUUUUUGCUAACAAUGGGUAUCUAGGCCUUUGGCCUGACUAGUCUUGCAGGCUCAUACUGACCCCACAACCGCAUGGAUUGGGUCAUACUAGGGUUUGAUGAAAACUAUUCAACUUUCACUGAAAGACACCUCAUGUAGGUGGUCCCAAAGAGACCCAACAAUAUUGGUAGCAAUGGUCUAGAGCCACAACUGAAAUAAUCUUCUAAACGGCUUCUCAAACACAGACAUGCUCUGCUAGAUGAACUUCUUAAGUAAAUACACUGUGGCCUGUAGGUAUUGAUUCUUGAUGGAGCUCAAAUGGUUUGCCAUGCUGGUUAGCAGAUUUGAAAAUGCAAAAAAAAUGAUGAGGUGAGGGCCAUUCUUCUACCAUGUGGUCACAUUGGGUAUUAGUGGGUUAGUCUUUGGAUGGGCUAGUUGGUAUAGAAACUGGCCUUCAUGAAGUAACCCACUGGUCUUGACAUGAUGAGGUGAGGGCCUGAGGCUGAAGGGAAGAAAUCUAAAGCAUCUACCAAAGCAAUUGUUGAUGUUUUAUACUAUUGAUUCCAUGGUAAUUCAGCUUGUAAAACUAUUUGUAAUACACAUUAAAUACACAUCUGAUAGUUACACUUCUGAGGACUUAACUUAAA
This is a long non-coding RNA of Macadamia integrifolia, 4347 nucleotides long. RefSeq lists it as uncharacterized. Lineage: Eukaryota; Viridiplantae; Streptophyta; Magnoliopsida; Proteales; Proteaceae. The transcript has 2 exons. The record is from RefSeq and is a predicted model, not a curated record.